RNAcentral lists this ribosomal RNA (253 nucleotides) under uncultured bacterium. Its description in RNAcentral is "partial 16S ribosomal RNA". It matches the Rfam family "Bacterial small subunit ribosomal RNA", at positions 524 to 776 of the family's 1533-position model. The record is from RNAcentral.
UACGGGGGGGGCAAGCGUUGUUCGGAAUUACUGGGCGUAAAGGGCGCGUAGGUGGCCUUCUAAGUUGAACGUGAAAUCCCUGGGCUCAACCCAGGAACUGCGUCCAAGACUGGGAGGCUUGAAUCCGGGAGAGGGAUGCGGAAUUCCAGGUGUAGCGGUGAAAUGCAUAGAUGUUGUCAAGAACACCAAUUGCGAAGGCAGCUUACUAAAUUAUAACUGACGCUGAGGCACGAAAGUGUGGGUAUCAAACAGG